Molecule: non-coding RNA, 381 nt
Organism: Leptonychotes weddellii (Weddell seal)
Lineage: Eukaryota; Metazoa; Chordata; Mammalia; Carnivora; Phocidae
Source: RefSeq, a predicted model, not a curated record
UUUUGAUAUUUAACUUGGCCAAAAGCAGGUGAUCCCAGGUCUGGAGCAGAGCCUUCUAGACAUGUGUGUGGGAGAGAAGCGAAGGGCAAUCAUUCCUUCUCACUUGGCCUAUGGAAAACGGGGAUUUCCACCGUCUAUCCCAGCGGAUGCAGUGCUGCAGUUUGAUGUGGAGCUGAUUGCACUGAUCCGAGCCAACUACUGGCAAAAGCUGGUGAAGGGCAUUUUGCCUCUGAUAGGCAUGGCCAUGGCGCCAGCCCUCCUGGGCCUCAUUGGGUAUCACCUAUACAAAAAGGCCAACAGACCUAAAGUCUCCAGAAAGAAGCUCAAGGAAGAGAAACGAAACAAGAGCAAAAAGAAAUAAUAAAUAAUUUUUAAAAAUUU